This is a non-coding RNA of Gorilla gorilla gorilla (western lowland gorilla), 148 nucleotides long. It matches the Rfam family "Metazoan signal recognition particle RNA". From Rfam's summary of the family: The signal recognition particle (SRP) is a universally conserved ribonucleoprotein. It is involved in the co-translational targeting of proteins to membranes. Lineage: Eukaryota; Metazoa; Chordata; Mammalia; Primates; Hominidae. The record is from Rfam.
GCCGGGCGCGGUGGCGGGCGCCUGUAAUCCCAGCUACUCGGGAGGCUGAGGCAGGAGAAUGGCAUGAACCCGGGAGGCGGAGCUUGCAGUGAGCCCAGAUAGCGCCACUGCAGUCCGGCCUGGGCGAAAGAGCUAGACUCUGUCUCUU